This 3999-nucleotide long non-coding RNA is filed under the name Pelobates cultripes (western spadefoot toad). Lineage: Eukaryota; Metazoa; Chordata; Amphibia; Anura; Pelobatidae. The record is from RNAcentral.
UACAGUCAUCUGUAUGCUGGGCAUCAGCACUGCUUUAACUGGAUAUUCCGAGGUAAGCACAAAACCUGUUCUUGUAGCUAUAGGCAUAUAGAAAUUCGUACAUAGGGUGUAGACUAUUCUUAAGGAGUGGUCAGAAUUUUGGAUCAUUCUGUUUAUAUUCUAUUGUCUUUGUGUAUGUGACAUGUAUUAUCGGAAAAUAAUGCCAUUGAGGCGUUUUGGACACAUCAGAAUUUUGACUAAGGAUCACAUGAUUAUUUUCCCCUUAUACAAAUACACACCUCAAGACUAGAUUUAGUUUUAGUGCUGGUAUUUGUGUUAUACUCAUGAUCAUGCUUUCAAUCUCUAUUCUGGUGUGUGGUGUCCUCUGUGCCUUAUUCCCUGUAUUGUGGGUUUGCCUACCAGUGUGUAGGGCAACACUGCCCAAUAAGUAGAUCUCUAGAUGUUGUAGAACUACAACUCAUGUGAUGCUUUGUCAUUCUAAAAGGCAUGCAAAGCAUCAUGGGAGUUGUAGUUCUACCAUAUCUGUAUAACUGCCGAUUGGGCAACCCAGAUGUCUGAGAUUUUGCUCUCAGCAGCUGCUAUGCAUUAAUUCAUGUUUAAGAUUAAAGGAGCCCGAGUACUAUCACUAACCACAGCUAUUACACUAAAUGUUCUAAAUAUAUAUAUAUUCAGCCUCUGCCAGGCUCUCACAGAUCUUAUGAAAGACCCUCCAUCUACUUAUGAUUUAGGGAUGGACACAUCCCCAGUUAAGGUAACGGUGUCCUAUUGAUAUUAACCUUUUAUAUACUAAAUCCCACACUGUUAGUAUCAUGUAUCCAACAUAUAUCUGGUUUCUUGCACCAAUAAAUACCCGCCAGGUUAUUUUACAAUUGCUUUUGCAAAUACUUCACACAAUACUGUAUCUGGUGCUUUUAUUUGAUUUUGAUGUACCAACCAUUGCCUGUUAGUGGUUUAUGAACCAAAGUUUCAUCCCUUUGCCCUGCUGUCCUCUACACUUAGUCAGUACCAAAAUUAAAUUAUAGUGUCCACUUUACACCCGGUAGCCAAGCCUUUAGGACAAAGGGUUGCUUAAGUUAUAACAUUUGUUCCGCAGUUGUACUGUACGGAUAAUACAUUUCUGUAACACGUGUCCAGUGCAGUGAAAUCACUGUAAAAGAAUCAAUAUAGAGUCAUAGUCAGGGGAAAAGGGAGUAAAAGAGAAACAGAUGUAUGUUCACCCUAGACUUACAGUGGAGAGUAGUGAUGUCCCGAAAGGUUCGCCGCGGACUCAUCAUUGAAAGCAUCCAUUUUGAAGCUGCAUUCUUAGUGAGCUGUCCAGGAGCUGGGAGGGUCUGGGAGGGAGGGUCUGCUGCUGAUUGGCUGGAAUGUGUCUGCUGACUGUGAGGUACAGGGUCAAAGUUUACUCAAUGAUGAGUCCGCGGCGAACCGUUCGGGACAUCACUAGUGGAGAGUCUUUAAUAAUAGGGCAGUUUCUUCUAGUAACUGUGAUAUCCUUAACUACAGACAUUCCAAAAAUACAGCUCUACAACAAAUCUACUCACAUAAUGUGUAAAAUAUCCGCAGGAUACCUGUGGAAGGAAGGGGGUUAUUUCAUGGUGAAGAAGCGGUCACCUAUAUCUGAUUUUGCAGCAAGGUAUACAUUUCAACUAACAGUGCUUCUCUGAUCAUUUUCAGGUGUUAUUCUGCUGUGAUCAAGGUUGGCUGCUCCGUGUGGCUCAUAUUCUUGUAGGCACUACAUGUAUCUCAAUCACUGCUUGUACUAUUGUACUGUCAGAAAGCAAACUGAUCCACUUUAUCCGUAGCCAUUUCCUGGCUGGCCGUUCCAAAAAGGGUGUUUAAUAAGGGUGGAAACUGGACAAUGCCGUGUUAUACUGGGUGUGUUUACCGAGCUAUCUCUCCUGUGGAUGUAAGAAUGUGCCAAGUGAACUGAACUCAAGAACUAAAAAUCACCACGUGUCAUUGUUCUUCCUUACUUGGGGUCAGCAAACUCUAACUUUGCAUACAGUGAUGAUAAAACAGAGUGUAACAGAAACAACUGAUACAGUAGGUUGUCAGAUCCUUGCCUACAGACACAGUGCAUCAUAAGAUACAGACUAUCCACGAUUACAGUGGAUCAAAACAGCUGAAAGACAUUGACUAUAUUGUAGAUAUUAUGGUGAAAGUUUUUGAGGGUGAAUUUUAAGGGGGAAGGGUUGAAAUCCAUUUGUGAGUUUUUUUAAAUAUGUGAACAAUGCGGGUUAGAAGCGUGUGGCUGAGGUGGACAGCCUUCAUUCAUAAGUAGAACAAUGCGGGUUAGAACAGUGUGGCUGAUGAGAUGGGUCCACAAAGAAAUUUUAAAGAUCUCAUUUGGGUGUCAGGAAGGUGAGUAGAAAAAGCUCUCUUCAGUACUCAAGACAAUAGAUGGUGACAGAGUGAAUGUGUAUGCUAUCUUGGGUGAGAGAGUGACAUGUUAAAGUGGCUCUGUCACCUUCUGGGGUCUUUGUACAUUUUGCAAAGACCCCCGAUGGUGACAUCGAUGCUCAGGCUGUGGUGGCCCAUGGGUGCAGCCAUGGUGAGUUGUCUUCUUUCUCCAAGUCCUAGAGCUUCAGAAUUAUGAGAUCUUUUGACUGUGUUGGAAUUUCAAUAUGUUUACAUUGUAGUUACAUUCAUUUUACUUAGGGAUACUAAAAUUUUGUAUUAACUGAAUUUCUCCUACUUUAAUGGCAAUUACAUUGUUUGGGGUUAAUUUGCUGGUGGUGUUCUGUACGACUCAGUGCACUCUUUAGUCCAAAUCAUUGGUCAUUGAAAUAGAGCAAUUCCAAACCACACGUUCUUCAUUGGGGAGACUUGAAUAAUUCAACAUUAGUAUGAGACAAAAUUGCUGACAUUUAUCUUUAUGGUAAUUACAUAGUUUGGCUUAAUAUUUGUUGAUAUUGUACUAUAUAACUGAAUGCAGUCUUUCUAAUUUAAAGGACAACUAUAGUGCCAGGAAAACACUCGUGCUGCCCCCACCCUCAGGGUCCCCCUCCCGCCGGGCUCUGGGGGAAGGAAGGGGUUAAACUUACCUCUUUCUCCAGCGCCGGGCGGGGAGCUCUCCUCUUUCUCUCCGCCUCCUUUCCUCCUCUUUGGCUGAAUGCGCAUGCGCACCAGGAGCUGCGCGCGCAUUAAGUCAGUCCAUAGGAAAGCAUUCACAAUGCUUUCCUAUGGACGCUGGCGUCGUCUCACUGUGAAAAUCACAGUGAGAAGCGCGGAAGCCCUCUAGCGGCUAUCAAUGAGACAGCCACUAGAAGCUGGAUUAACCCUAACAUCAACAUAGCAAUUUCUCUGAAACUACGUUUAUAGAAAAAAGGGUUAAACCUAGCUGGACCUGGCACCCAGACCACCUCAUUAAGCUGAAGUGGUCUGGGUGCCUAUAGUGGUCCUUUAAUGGUACAUUCCUGGGCCUCUAAAAUAGAGGAAACCCAGUUACAUGUAAAGGACAACUGUCAUCAAACUUUGACUUUUUCCCCGAAGUUUAUUACAUUUAAUGAAACUUAAUGAUCUGUUUUAAUGAUUUUUAUUGAAUUUUGUGAGAAAUGCUGCUUUUUUUAAUCUAGUUGAGCGGCCGUUUUGGUUCAGAUUAUACAAUUCUCUACCCAACUGCUGCUAAACCUAGCAGCUGUUUUCUGUAUAAAUCCUUGUCUGUGGGGGCAGCUAUAGCUAAGUUCUCUUGUCAGAAAUAAUGCUUAUCUGACCAAAAACCAUGCAUACAAUUAGGAAUAGAAAGGAAGCAGGAAAUCAGUAUCUUAUGGAGCUUGAAAUACGCUCCAGUUAGAUUUGUAAAAAUAAUAUAUAUACAUAUACACACACAUAUAUAUAUUUUUUUUUUUUUAAAUAUUCCUCACUUGAUGAUGAGCUAGCCUUGGGCAACCAAAAGUAAUUUUAUUAUUGGUGGCUGUGCUACCAAGCAAAAUGUGCACUGUAAUGAUUUGAAUUUAAAUAUGAAGAAUCAUCAUUUGAAUUGUUCUAAAUGGUCUCAAU